UACAGAGGUCUCAAGCGUUGUUCGGAUUCAUUGGGCGUAAAGGGUGCGUAGGCGGCGCGGUAAGUCGGGUGUGAAAUCUCGGAGCUUAACUCCGAAACUGCAUUCGAUACUGCCGUGCUUGAGGACUGGAGAGGAGACUGGAAUUUACGGUGUAGCGGUGAAAUGCGUAGAUAUCGUAAGGAAGACCAGUGGCGAAGGCGGGUCUCUGGACAGUUCCUGACGCUGAGGCACGAAAGCGUGGGGAGCGAUCCGG
RNAcentral lists this ribosomal RNA (253 nucleotides) under uncultured bacterium. Its description in RNAcentral is "partial 16S ribosomal RNA". It matches the Rfam family "Bacterial small subunit ribosomal RNA", at positions 524 to 776 of the family's 1533-position model. The record is from RNAcentral.